Molecule: ribosomal RNA, 428 nt
Filed under: uncultured bacterium
Lineage: Bacteria
Description: bacterial SSU rRNA
Rfam family: Bacterial small subunit ribosomal RNA
Source: RNAcentral
UGGGGAAUAUUGCACAAUGGGAGAAAUCCUGAUGCAGCGACGCCGCGUGGGUGAUGAAGGCCUUCGGGUUGUAAAGCCCUGUCGGCUGGGAACAAGUUAGUCGUGCUCAUACCACGAUUGAUUGAGGGUACCAGCAAAGGAAGCACCGGCUAACCCUGUGCCAGCAGCCGCGGUAAUACAGGGGGUGCUAGCGUUGUUCGGAAUUACUGGGCGUAAAGGGCGCGUAGGCGGUCUAGCAAGUCAGGGGUGAAAUCCCGGAGCUUAACUCCGGAAUUGCUUUUGAUACUGUUAGGCUAGAGUGAGUUAGAGGAUGGCGGAAUUCCUAGUGUAGUGGUGAAAUACGUAGAUAUUAGGAAGAACACCGGUGGCGAAGGCGGCCAUCUGGGACUCAACUGACGCUGAGGCGCGAAAGCGUGGGGAUCAAACAG